UCCCCAGACUCCUACGGGAGGCAGCAGUGAGGAAUAUUGGUCAAUGGGCGGGAGCCUGAACCAGCCAUGCCGCGUGAAGGCGAGUGCCCUACGGGCGUUAAACUUCUUUUGUGCGGGAGCAAUAAGGGCCACGCGUGGCCCGAUGAGAGUACCGCACGAAUAAGCAUCGGCUAACUCCGUGCCAGCAGCCGCGGUAAUACGGGGGAUGCGAGCGUUAUCCGGAUUUAUUGGGUUUAAAGGGUGCGCAGGCGGAGGUGCAAGUCAGCGGUCAAAUUGCGGGGCUCAACCCCGUACUGCCGUUGAAACUGCAUCCCUUGAGUGGGCGAGAAGUACGCGGAAUGCGUGGUGUAGCGGUGAAAUGCAUAGAUAUCACGCAGAACUCCGAUUGCGAAGGCAGCGUACCGGCGCCCAACUGACGCUGAAGCACGAAGGCGUGGGUAUCGAACAGGAUUAGAUACCCGAGUAC
Molecule: ribosomal RNA, 466 nt
Filed under: uncultured bacterium
Lineage: Bacteria
Description: bacterial SSU rRNA
Rfam family: Bacterial small subunit ribosomal RNA
Source: RNAcentral